CCCUUAGAUGUUCUGGGCCGCACGCGCGCUACACUGACGAAUGCAACGAGCUUAUAACCUUGGCCGAAAGGUCUGGGUAAUCUCCAAAUUUCGUCGUGAUGGGGAUAGAUUAUUGCAAUUAUUAAUCUUCAACGAGGAAUGCCUAGUAAGCGCAAGUCAUCAGCUUGCGUUGAUUACGUCCCUGUCCUUUGUACACACCGCCCGUCGCUCCUACCGAUUGAAUGGUCCGGUGAAGCGUUCGGACCGUGGCCUUUGGACGGUUCGCCGUCUGUUGGCUGCGGGAAGUUCGUUAAACCUUAUCAUUUAGAGGAAGGAGAANUCGUAACA
This 327-nucleotide ribosomal RNA is filed under the name uncultured eukaryote. RNAcentral's name for it is "partial 18S ribosomal RNA". It matches the Rfam family "Eukaryotic small subunit ribosomal RNA", at positions 1470 to 1796 of the family's 1831-position model. The record is from RNAcentral.